AGGCUCAGGGCUGUUUCUCCGCGGAUGGCCUCGUGGGCCGGCUGAGAUGCGCAUGCGCGCGGGUGCCUAACGGCUCUGCUGGGCUAGGUGCUCCUCCGAGCGGCUGGAGACUGGAGUGUCCCUGACGGAGGUUGCGGCUGGACCUGGUUACGUGCUGGUGCUGUGCUCCAGAGCGGCAGAAAACGAGUGGGAGCUGAGGUGUCUUGAAGCCGUCCCUCAGCCUGGGAGAAGAUCUUUGGCUUCAGGAUGGGGGUCAGGGAGUCGUUCCUGGGGGCCUGCAGGAGACGCAUGGCUACCUGGAGGGAGAAUCGUGGCAAGGAUGGCUUCUCAAAUCCUGGGUACCGAGUCCGGCAGAAGGAUCUGGGCAUGAUCCACAAAGCUGCCAUCGCAGGUGACCUGAACAAGGUGAUGGAGAGCAUCUUGCUCAGGCUGAAUGACGUGAACGACAGGGACAAGAAGAACAGGACUGCUCUACAUUUGGCGUGUGCCCAUCGCCGUCCAGGAGUGGUAGCUGACUUGGUGGCCAGAAAAUGCCAGCUUAACCUCACUGACAGUAAAAACAGGACAGCUCUGAUCAAGGCUGUACAAUGUCAAGAAGAAGUUUGUGCAUCCAUCCUGCUGGAACAUGGUGCCGACCCAAAUGUUAGAGAUAUGUACGGCAACACUGCUCUGCACUAUGCCAUUGAUAAUGAGAAUAUAUCAAUGGCAGGGAAACUGCUUGCAUAUGGUGCAGAUAUUGAAGCAAGAAGCCAGGGUGAACAUACAUCACUUUUGCUCGCUGUAAAUAGGAAAAAAGAGCAAAUGGUGGCAUUUUUGUUGAAGAAAAAACCAGAUUUAACUGCAAUAGAUAAUUUUGGAAGAACAGCCCUCAUACUUGCUGCUCGUAAUGGAUCAACAAGUAUAGUCUACCAGCUUCUUCAGCACAAUAUUGAUGUCUUUUGCCAAGAUAUAUCUGGAUGGACUGCAGAAGACUAUGCUGUUGCUUCUAAAUUUCAAGCCAUUCGUGGACUAAUUUCUGAAUAUAAAGCAAACAAGAGACGUAAAAGUCUUCAAAAUAGCGAUCCAGAACAAAACUUAGAAAUGACAUCAGAGGGAGAGCAAGAAAGGCUUGAAGGAUGUGAAAGUAGCCAGCCACAGGUUGAAGAAAAAAUGAAGAAAUGCAGAAAUAAGAAAACGGAAGUGUCAAGAAACGUACAUGCUGAUGACAGUGACAAUUAUAAUGACGAUGUUGAUGAAUUAAUUCACAAAAUAAAGAACAGAAAACCUGAUAAUCAUCAAUUUCCCGAGGAGGAGAAUGACAAGUUUGAUAGGCUUGCAAGGAAAACCUUUAAUGAAAAGAGCAAGGUUAAAAGCCAAAUAUAUUUCAGGGAUGACCUUAAUGACAUAACUGAGUCAUCUGAAAAAACCUCAGAGGAUGAUGAGUUGCCUUACUCUGAUGAUAAGAAUUUUAUGUUACUCAUUGAACAACGUGGAAUGGACUGUAAAGAUUUUGUUAGCCUGUUGAAAAUCAAGAAUGCAACAGCUUCAUGUGAAAGAUCAAUAGAGGAUAAAAAAUGUUACUGUGAACGACUUAAAGUAAAAUUUCAAAAAAUGAAAAAUAAUAUUAUCGUACUACAAAAGGUACUAUCUGAAACAGACAAAACCAAAUCACAGUUAGAGCAUCAGAAUCUUGAAAGGAAGAAAAAGCUCUGUAAUUUGAGAUUUAUCUUACAAGAAGAAGAAGAAGAAAGAAUAAAGGCUGAAGAGUUGUUUGAAAAAGAUACAGAAGAGUUAAAAAUAAUGGAAGAGCAAUAUGUGACACAAACUGAAGUGAAACAACUUAAACUGACUCUCAGAUCAUUGGAAGUGGAAUUGAAGACUGUAAGAAGUAACUCAAAUCAGAAUUCUCAUACUCAUGGAAAAGAAAGAGACCUGUGGCAGGAAAAUCACUUGAUUCGGGAUGAAAUUGCCAGACUUGGGCUGGAAAUUGACACAAUAAAACAUCAGAACCAGGAAACUAAAAAUAAAUAUUUCAAAAAUAUUGAAAUUAUAAAGGAAAACAACGAAGACCUUGAAAAGACUCUAAAGCUGGAUGAGGAAACAUUAACAAAAACAAUAACCCAGUAUAGUAAAGAGCUUAAUGUUCUGAUGGAUGAGAAUACAAUGCUCAAUUUUGAGCUAGAGAAGGAAAAACAAAGCAAGUCAAGACUGGAAGCAGAAAUGGAAUCAUACCGUUGUGGACUGGCUGCUGCCCUAUGUGAUCAUGAUCAAUGUCAGUCAUCAAAAAGAGACCUACAGCUUGCUUUCCAGAGCACAGUGAAUGAAUGGUGUCAUUUACUAGAAAAUAGGUAUUCUCACAUUCAGAUUCUUUCUCAGCAACUUUCUAAAGCUGAGAGUACAUCCAGUGGCCUGGAAACUGAGCUCCGUUAUGAAAGAGAGGCUCUCAAAGAAAAGACGUUGGGUAUAGAACACCUGCAAGGAGUCCUAAGCCAAACACAGUGUCGAUUGAAGGACAUUGAACACAUGUACCAAAAUGACCAACGAAUUUGGGAGAAAUACGUGAGAAAGCAGCAAUCUGUAGAGGAUGGACUAUUUCAACUACAAAGCCAAAAUCUGUUAAUUCAACAGCAAUGUAAUGAUGCUCACAAGAAAGCUGACAAUUGGGAAAAAACAAUAAUUAAUAUCCAAGCCAAAUGUGAAGAUACCAAAUGUGAAGAUACUGUAGAAGAACUUCAAGCUGACUGUAGAAAGCUAGAAGAGAACAAUAAGAGGUUGAUGAAGGAAUGCACUCUUUUAAAAGAAAGACAAUGCCAAUAUGAAAAAGAGAAAGAAGAAGGAGAAGUAGUCGUGAGACAGCUUCAACGAGAAGUGGGUGAUGCCCUGAACAAACAAUUGCUGUCAGAAGCUAUGCUAGAGAUUUCAUCACAACAUCGUGUUAAUUUAGAAGAUGAGACACGAAAUUCAAAAAAGAAAUUAGGCCAGAUGAGAAGUCAAUUGCAAGAAAUGCAGGAUCAAUGCACAGAGACUCCAAGAUGUGCUGAGGAGAUGUCAGACCACGUGCAAAAGCUUAAAAUAGAAAAUGCCAUGUUAAAAAUUAGAAUGAAAAAGCGAGCGGACAAAAUUGAGCAGCUUCAGAAAAUUUUGAUGCAGCAGGUGUACAAGGAAACAUAACUGCAGAAGUAGAUGAAGAGUUACUGCACAUUUCUGUGUCAUCUACAUGCCAUGAAAGUCUUAAAAUCAAUUGUCAAUUUCUACAAAAUACCUGCUUGGAUUUGGACUGUGAUUGCAUUAUGUCAUGAGAAAGAAUGAACAUCUUAACUAUGAUGAGUCUCUCAACCUGUGAAUAAGACUUCAGUCAUAGACUUCUCAGCUGCCUUGAGGGAUUGGAUGAGCCUUGGCCAACUCUUGAAGGAAACAAUAAAAUCACUUUAAUAUGCUACUUUUCAUUUUGAAGUCAUUACAGUAUCAUUUGCAAAACUCAACAAGGAAAGAUGCCUGUGGAUGGCCGUGUUCUUGGAGUCACUGAGAUGAGGUGCUGCCUGCUUUCACCCAACCUGAUCUGGGGCUCAGACAGCUACAGGCCCGAGUGGCUGGGAGGUUUGGAGGGAACCAGGUUUAGCUGUGAUGAGAGCACCUUGCUGUGGGCUGGGAGGUGGGAGUGCAGGGCAGCCUGGGCUCCCCUGGCCCCAUACUCAGAUCAGCAAGUGCCCAGCGGAGGCCACAUGGCCCCAGCACCAAACAGUGUAGGGUCUGUGGGUCCCAGCAUUUCCACAUCCUGAAAAGUGACACGUGAACUGUUUCCUAGGCAAGUUCUCUUCCACCAUGUUCUGGAUGAGGUCCGUGAGCUCCUUCCAGUUUCACAAAGAAUGUGCAGAAGGUGGAAAGAGUGAGGGACGCAGGCCCAGCUGCAGCUGCACUCAGGCCCCUCAGUCAUAAAGUCCGGGUGAGGGGCUGGAUAGGCGCUGACAGGAAAGCAGCCCCUGUUCCUCUUCCCUAGCCAGGUUCUCACAUGUCCCUGAGGAACUAGAGAGGAACGCCUCUGGGAAGCCCAGCCAGGGCCAACCGGAAGGGCCUUUGGGUGAAGUCUGACAUCCUACAUUAGUUUCUCUGGACCUGGUGAGAACCAGCCCCCAGGGGAAGGACUGUUUUGCCAGCACCAACUCUCCAGCUGGGCUGUUGGUUCCCAUUGCCUCCCGUCAUGGAUACAGAAAAGCAGCCAGGCUAUUCCAAGUGGAGUAAAUACAGAGCUGGCUGAGGCAGGGCCAGCUGAGGUGCAAACUCCAUGGGGUUUACUGUCACUCCGCCAGUCAUCUGUCCAGCAGGCCUCAGCUUCACACACAGGGAAACAGAAGGAAUGCAUCUACUCACUGGGCGUCACACUGCUCCCGCUCACAGCCACCGCCUGCAUCGAGGCAACAUGCAGGCGGGAGCUUGGUCCCAGGAGGUGUCUGUAAACUUAUGUCCUGGGGUGGGCCACUGCAGAUGGCCUGUCCUUGCCUUCUCAUCACCAAAUCCCCAUUUUUGGUGCUGACGCAGAUGUCCAGACGUUAAAAUCGCUGAUGUUUUCACAAGACCCACAAAGAGGGAGGGUCCAGGCACAUUUUUUGUUUCUGUAUCACCCUGGAAUUAUGGGCAAAUUUCCCCAAAAACCAUGUGUACUGUGAUUGUACGUACUGGGGUGGAUAUAUUAGACUAGGGGGCCGCAGAUGGGCGGGGAAAAUCUUUUAUGUGAGGUAUUCCUCUAAGCAAUUCUUGACAACUCUUCUCCUCCCUUCUGGAAGCUUCUGGCACUGGAUGUGGAGACAUGGCAUAUCAGGGGUGCAGGUCAAGACCACACGUGCUUGGCACAGUGCACAGAACUUGGCUGGGCUGUGGCCUCUCAGGAUUUUCCAGCUCAUGAAGGCAGAGGAGAUGAAGAGAGGCCGAUUGAUGUGAGGGUGAGGUUGCCUUGCUUUCCCUAAAAUAGGCAUGUUCCUUUCUUGGUUGCUUUUUCAGUUAACUUUACAUGUAAAAAAAAUAAUGUGCAUUAUAGAUAUUAAAUACUGUUUUCUGGGGUUGUGGAAGAAGAGAUCUUAGCAACUGAUAUGUAAUCCAAAAUAACAUUUACAUAUGAUGGCCUCAGGUUAUAGACUGUAUCCAUGGGGUCCUUGUUCUUGAAAGCAAUGUCUUCUUGGAUUAAGCAUUUUGCACUUGCCAACCUAAACGGACCUAAGAGAUACACCUUCUAGGAAAAGCUCAUGUCUUUUCCAGUGUGCAUCCUACCCUUGUUUUGGGGGCCUUGGAGUUGACUACAGUUUCUGAUCCAGUCUUUAAUGCUCUUUGAGAGAAACAGAGCCAUGUGCAAACAAUCCACAGCUCAGUGUGCCCCUCAUAAAGCUUUGUUCUGUAUUGCGGGUCGUGCAGGUGGCGCCUCUGAGGUGUGACUCCAAUAAGUACUCUGGAAUUACUUGCUGAGAAAGAAAAGUCUGGAUGCCAAGAAAGGUGUGACAUCCUUGCUGGCUUCAACGUGAAGAGCCACCCUGAUUUUGGGAUUCUGAUAGGAAUAAGGAUAGUGGACUUUUUUUUUUUUUAAGUUCUCCAGGCAAAAAUUAUGACCAAAUGUCUCCAUCUGAUGAAGCAGCUGCACUCCUAUGGGGGUACUGGGCUGUGUGCUUGCCUGGUGUCUUAUGAGUCUGCAUUGUGUGACGUGAUUGUGUGUGUUUUAGUAUAGGGGAGGCUGUGUGUUUUCUCAGGAGAGAUUUUCCAUUUACACAGCACAAUUGCCAGUCUCCACUUCUAAAAAGUAAAAUCCACCCCUGUUCUACUCUAUACAUGACUCAUUCACCCGUGCCAGAGCCACCUUUUAUUACCCUCACUGCUCAGGUGGAGAAUCUGAAGGGCCAAUGGGAAUGGCCCCAGCUUUUGAGCUCCUGAAUGAAAAAGUCAAAACAUGAGCUCAGGUGUGUGGCCCAAUGCUGACACUGUCACCUGCUGACACGCACUUAUGCCUCAGUCACAGGGUGUUCAUUACCAUGCAGGGAGUCCAGCAUUCAUGUACAAGCCCUAAAGCACUGAGCCUGAGAGGUCCCAGACUCUGCCCAUCACCAUGAAGUGACCUCCGUGGUCACAUAACCCAGAGCAGUUACAGGCACAUCUUCCUACAGACGAGCAUUGUCAUCAGUGUCAAAAUCACAAAGAUUCCCGGAUGUUUUGGGUCAGCUCACAGGUUCUAAGACGUGGGGGACCAUGUAGAACAGUUCUGACAAUUCUGAAGGUAUUUUUCUCAGCAGCUGGCCAAAGCUUAUAAGGAACAAUGAUAUAUUUCAGUAGAUUUAGUAAUGUUCACAAGCCCUAAAAUGCUCAAAUCCUGCCGGCUAAAAAUGGUGAAGAGACAGAUAAGAACACUGCACCACUCAGUGUGGUUUCCGUUGCCUCGUGGCAACUCUGUUGUAUAUCUGGACUAAGGACCCUCAGCCUCAACCUAGCCUUUCCUCCAUGAGGAACCAUCUCACUGUUGACUGACUAGUGUAGCCUGCAUGGCCAUUAGCCUACGUGAAAUGAAGUUUUGCUUUAAAACAAGUGUAAAUCUCAUACAGCAGAUAAGUGCAGUAGCAGCAUGAUCUUGCAAGUUGUAAAGAAGACAGCAGCGAUGUAACUGGACUUGAAGCCAGACAGGAGGAAUGAGGGAACUCUGUCACUGAAUUACAGCACGCAGAGUUGAAGACCAUUUAUAGACAAUUUCGUGUUACAGUAGGUAGCCUUUAGCUAGUAAGCAAAGGUCUCUAUUUCUCAGUUCUUUCCUGUUCAUCUUCAUUGUUGUCCUUCCAAAAGGGCAAACAGCCCAAGCAGAAGGCAAUUUUAGUAUUAAUCUAACUAAGGUUUUGUGUAGUUUACUAUCAUCCAGGUAAGCAAAUACAACUGCCUGCCUGCAUGCCUGCCUGUCCCCAACCCCUGCUCUGUGUUUUCAUUUAAUAAAUUAUUUGGUGUUCUACUUGCCAUGUGCUAGAUUUUCUGAAAACCACAAAGAAAAUGAGAUAGAGUCUUUAUAUUGACAGCUGAUAAGUUAGAUUUAACAUAACUGACAAAAAUUAAAAAUUGCAACUUUUAUAAAAAUAUAUAUUUCUGAAUACAUACUGAAUGUAAGGUAGUUAACAAAAAUAAUUACACUUGCACUCAUGGGCAGUUUCUUAUAAACUUGUCAAUUUCUAUUUUUUCUGCUUCCUCAUUUCAGUAGAUGAUGCAUAUCUGAACCUGGAAACGGCUUCCCGCUGUAGAGCGUGUUCUGAGUCACUUCCCUUAGCUUCCCCAGAGCAGGUCCAGCAGGCUCUGAGCUUGGCCUCUUUGCCUGAAACAAGACCUCUAGGUAAUGUCUCCAGGGAGGGUGGCACAAAGGAUCCUGGAUCUCCUGAUCACAGCAGCCCAAGACUGCUGUGCGUGCACCAUGGCUCAAGAAGAUUUAAAAAGGGGAAAGUAUGACUAUUUCUAAUCUGUAGUAGUUCAGUAUUUUUAAUGUUUCGGUUAUCCAUAUGAAAAAGAAUUUGCGAUAAAUAGAAUAAUUUGCCUACAAUUGAAUAUUUCACCAAUAAAAUUGGCUUUUAAUCAAGUGAUAAAUCCUGUAAAAUAGAUAAUAGAUGCAGUACCAACAUAAUUUGAUUCUAGUACACUGAGAUGAUCUUGAAUACGUUAAGAAAGUGUUGUUUGUGUAGAAGAGUUUCAAAUCAUGUGAGUGAUGAAGAGACCCUUCUGUUGAACCUUGGUGUGCAUUUUAGGUCCAUUUUGGGUUUGCUUCUUUGUGCCGCUUCAUGAUGCCUUAGGACAAGGACAAGGCCUAGGCCUCCUUGUCUCAGUUCCCUCUUGCUCUCUCUGUUGCCCUCCUCCUUCCACCUGGAGCAUGGCCCAGCAUCAGGUUGGUGCAUGCUGUGAUCAGCCACCUCCAUGCACCACACCAAGCAGAGCUCUCUGGGUGACACAGUUGCUGCCACCAGGGCACUGACCUUUACUCUGUGUUCUCCUAGUUCCUCCUGAGGGUGCUGUAGGAGGCAUCUGCAAAAAAGAAGAUGCUGGCAAUGUAAGACACUUUUCUUGGUCUUAAACAGAAAUGUUACUUUCCUGGCUGCUUUCCUUUCCAGUCAAAUAUACACAUGGGAAUCUGACAGUGUGCAUUAUCUAUGAUGUCCACAGUUCCCUUGCUGGGUGGUACUGGUUGGCAGCCUCUCACCAACCCACACCUGGCAUACUGGGGCCUUGUAGAUGGCAGCAUUCCCUAUUCACUGCAAUGCAGAGGGCUUUCCCUCAGCAGUAGUUUUUCCCAUGGAUAAAGAGUUGUGAAACUGGCUGGGUCCAGUGGCUCACACCUGUAUUCCCAGCACUUUGGGAGGCCAAGACGGGCGGAUCACCUGAGGUCAGGAGUUCAAAACUAGCCUGGCAAACAAUGAUGAAACCCCGUCUGUACUAAAAAUACAAAAGUUAGCUGGGCUUGGUGGCAUGUGCCUGUAGUCCAGACACUUGGGAGGCUGAAGAAGGAGAAUCGCUUGAACCUGGGAGGCGGAGGUUUCAGUGAGCCGAGAUCAAGCCACUGCACUCCAGCCUGGACAGCAAGACUCCGUCUAAAGAAAAAAAAAGA
This is an RNA transcript of Symphalangus syndactylus (siamang), 8581 nucleotides long. It is a transcript of the gene named ankyrin repeat domain-containing protein 62, with no coding region annotated. The record is from RefSeq and is a predicted model, not a curated record. Lineage: Eukaryota; Metazoa; Chordata; Mammalia; Primates; Hylobatidae.